This 434-nucleotide ribosomal RNA is filed under the name uncultured Lachnospiraceae bacterium. Its description in RNAcentral is "partial 16S ribosomal RNA". It matches the Rfam family "Bacterial small subunit ribosomal RNA", at positions 341 to 792 of the family's 1533-position model. The record is from RNAcentral. Lineage: Bacteria; Bacillati; Bacillota; Clostridia; Lachnospirales; Lachnospiraceae.
ACGGAAGGCAGCAGUGGGGAAUAUUGCACAAUGGGGGAAACCCUGAUGCAGCGACGCCGCGUGAGUGAAGAAGUAUUUCGGUAUGUAAAGCUCUAUCAGCAAGGAAGAAAAUGACGGUACUUGACUAAGAAGCCCCGGCUAACUACGUGCCAGCAGCCGCGGUAAUACGUAGGGGGCAAGCGUUAUCCGGAUUUACUGGGUGUAAAGGGAGCGUAGACGGUGAGGCAAGUCUGAAGUGAAAUGCGGAGGCUCAACCUCCGAACUACUUUGGAAACUGUCUAACUUGAGUGCAGGAGAGGUAAGUGGAAUUCCUAGUGUAGCGGUGAAAUGCGUAGAUAUUAGGAGGAACACCAGUGGCGAAGGCGGCUUACUGGACUGUAACUGACGUUGAGGCUCGAAAGCGUGGGGAGCAAACAGGAUUAGAUACCCUGGUA